AAAUGAAAAGGUGAUGAAGUUCACCAUAACUGCCCUUUCCAAGGGAUGAUGACUUCUGCUUUCUA
This 65-nucleotide non-coding RNA is filed under the name Syntrophobacter sp. SbD1. RNAcentral describes it as "crcB". It matches the Rfam family "Fluoride riboswitch aptamer (crcB RNA motif)". The record is from RNAcentral. Lineage: Bacteria; Pseudomonadati; Thermodesulfobacteriota; Syntrophobacteria; Syntrophobacterales; Syntrophobacteraceae.